This 13162-nucleotide long non-coding RNA is filed under the name Triticum aestivum (bread wheat). RNAcentral's name for it is "long non-coding RNA (TAES_LNC023350)". Lineage: Eukaryota; Viridiplantae; Streptophyta; Magnoliopsida; Poales; Poaceae. The record is from RNAcentral.
GCAACAUCAACUAAAACUAUGGCGCGCAUCUCCAAGCUUCUUCUAAUCUUCUGCCACAGCAGCAGCAACCUCGACAACAUUAGAUCCUGAUCCAGAUAAGUUAUUAGUGAAAUACACUGGAAGUAAAUAAUAUUCUUUCAAGAGGCUAAAAUUUAUACAUACAUCCCCAAAUGCCCCAAUUCAGUAAACACUAAGCAUGGCAUAACAAAGCUUCCAACAACUUGAAUGCAACAGAUUAACUUGAUGUUGUUCUACAAUAAUAAUCUAUACAUACCUGCAUGGUACAUUGGUACAAAGUUUAGGUAAUGAAAAUAAAAUCACUAUAACACUAACCUAAAGAAAAAUCCUAUUCUACUACCACGACCAUCCAUUCAACUAACAAUACUAGUAAGUGCACAGAGACUAACAUCACAAGGCACGAGACAAUUAUGACAAUUUUGGCAAGUUGGAGAAAUCAUUUAGUCAGUUUUGGUAUACUUAGGUUAUGAGCCAAAAUAGACCAAGCAAAAAAAGCAGUAACUGGUGAUGCAUGAGCAUGAAUAUGGUACAGAAUAGAGCAUAUUAACGUUAAGAUUUGGGCCUUCCAACUUUACUGGUCAUACAUACAUAUACAAAAUUGAGCAUGAAUCAUUGAUCUUAGUUGUAUAUGAGACUAGUUGGGUUGUGUAUUCUAAGCUCCAAGCAGGUUACAAAAGAAAUUGAAGAUGAACCGUAUAUAACAGACUAAAAUAUCAAAUAGAAACCCAAAAAUUAAAUACGAGUAUAACAGGAAGGAUUACAACAUGUUCAAUUCAAUUAAUUUCUAAAGCACUGAAUCAGUAGCAUAAGCAUGCAACAACAACAUAAGAAUUUAAUCAACAGCGGCGUGAGUAUAAGCAUUAAAUUAGCAGCAGCAACACAAGCAGCACCACCACCACCACAAGUGCACACUUAUUCAAGCUAGUAGCAGUCUAGCAGGCUAGCAGCAGAAGCAUUCAAACAACUAGAGAAGCACAGUACAGCAGCAAAAGCAUUGAAAGAGCAGCAAAGCAGGUUUGAACUAUCACAUGUCAUAUCUGGAAGGACCACGAUGUCGCCUAAGGGGGGGUGAAUAGGCGUUUUAAAAUAUUUUAAGGAUUUGGCUAUAUCCUAAUGCGGAAAUAAACUAAGCGGAUAUUUUUCAAGCACAAAUCCUAAAUAUACUAGGCUCACUAAGUGCACCAACAGCUUAGGAUAAACAAGAUGAGAACAACGAUGAUAUGAGUAAGCACAAGUAAGUACAUAAACUUAAUGUAUAUCACAAGAUAUGUAAAUGAAUAAUACACACAACCACAAGUAAGAAAUACAAGCUUACACAAAUUAUGUCACAAGAUAUGGAAAUGAAUGUUAUAAGCUAGCAAUUCACACUCAGCACAAGAUAGAACAAUGGUAGCAAGUAUGAAUUGCGGACUAUAAAGUAUUGGCCUAAAUGAUCUCUACGAUAUGGUAACCAACACAAUACAAUGAGGACAACAAGAUAUAGUGAAUGCACGGUCAAGUGACCAAAGUAAACCACAAGUAAGGAGUUAGGGUUAGGGAUAACCAAAGUCACGAAGACGAGGAUGUAUCCCGAUGUUCACUUCCUUGGAGGGAAGCUAGUCACCGUUAGAGAGGUGGAUGUUACCAUGAAGGCACACCAACGCCAUGAAAGCUCACCCUAUUCUCCUUGAGAUAUCACCACGAAGGCGAUUCUCAACCACUAGUGGUAGACCUUGAGGCGGCCUCCAAACCUUCACAAACUUUCCGGGGGACAAAUCACAAGUUGAUUCCUCACCGGAGCACUCCUACCGCCUAGGAGUCUCCAACCUCCAAGAGUAACAAGAACAAAGGGGAAAUGCUCAAGACUUGCUCAAAUCACGAAUUCUUUUGGUCAAGAGAGGGAGAGGGAGUGGAUCUAUCACUUGAUUGGAAAAACUCUCAAGAACUCUCACAAAUCUCUCCGGGAUAUAAGGAUUUGGUGUACGAGAAGUGAGAGGGAGCCACUUGUGUUCUUGGGGUGAUUUGGGAUAAAGUGGUCGACCCUCUACCAGAUUAGUAGAGGGGUCUAUAUAGAAGGCCUAGAAAACUAGCCGUUUGUGAGUAAGUGACAGCGUCGGGCCGGACAUCCGGGCAAGGGCCGGACAUCCGGGCAAGUGCCAGACAUCCGGCGGGCACAACCAACAUUUGAAAACAAGUUCUGGAAUUUGCGGGCCGGAUUUUCGGGAGGAUCCCGGACAUCCGGGGCGACCCGGAAGCCCGGACAUCCGGCCAAGUCCUGGAUGUCCGGCCAUAAAAAAACAGCAGGAACCCCAGAACUGAAACAUGCAUAACUUUUACAUCCUGACUCCGAUUUUAAUGAUCUUGGGCUCGUUUUGAAGCUAUGGAAAAACUCCAGGUCCUCACAUAUAGAACCACCCAAGAUAAGCCAUAAUGGAGGGUGCAAAGCAUGCAAUGGUUAUACAUAUACUUUGGGGAACCUAGUUGGCUUUGGAUUUUCUUUUGAGAUAUGUAGGCAUAUUGUAUUUGUAUUGGAUAGGAGCGAAAUAUGCUUAUGUUGGAAUAUGAUGUGAGAAGAAUAGAAAUAGAUGAUGUUGAAUUGAGAAAAUCCAUCACUAACCCCUUUGAUCCCCUCUCAAUAGUGCGGGGUCCCUAUAACUCAAGAAUCAUAAAAGAACUAUACUAGAUAGCUUCCGAAAACUCAUUCCUGAGCAUAUAUCCUUUUCGAUGGUCAUAGAUCCUCACAUCUAAAGCCAAAGGAACUAAUACCUUUGACUAGAGCCUUUCACUUGAGCUUUAUAUUGAUGUUUCUUCAUGGCUCAAGUUGAAGGCAAGACAUUGGAGAAGUCUUCAAGUAGCUCCCCCAUACACAAUGUGGGAAGAUUUGUUUUGCAUUCAUCUUUACUUGUCCAUCAACAUUAAUUACUUGAUGACAUACUUUGAUGAGCACCAAGCUUUCUUAGAAGCACCAAGCUCAUGAGAAUUACCUAACCGACAUAACAUAGACAACACAUAGUAUGGGUUAGUACACAAAGCGCAAUUGAUAAAUUCUUAUCAUGCCACAAGAUCUCAUGUGGCACAUGAUAUGCGCUUGUGUGUUGUCCACCUUAAAGGUCAAUCUUUGAUCUUCAUCUUGGUCAACAUUUAUCUUUGCUCCAUGAUUAAUAUUGAUGUCUUGAAGGCCCUAUUGAUAUCUUCACUAUGCUUCAUUUCUUCAAGACAUAAUAACCAAUAUCUCAAUUCACCAUGACCAUAUCAAGUUUCUCCUUGAAUAUCAUAUUGGACAUCAUUUGCCCGUUCUCAUGCUCCAACAUGGUAUCUUGAGAGGCACAAUGAUUUCUUCACUUGAAUUACUUGCUUCAAGACAUAAUAAUCCCCGACUCAACAAAUGAGUUCAUAAUGAUCCUAUCAUCAAGCAUAUGUAGAAUUCUUAUCUUUAAUCAUUCUCUCAAGAUCUUGAUCCAUCAUGGUUCAACCCAUAAGCCUUGAUGCAUGCACAACAAUAUGUAUAUGGCAUUCAUUUAGAAUCCAUUCUAUCUCCUUCUUGCAUCACCAUGGAACAAACAUCCUUCAGUUCAUCCAAUAUUCUUCAUGCAUUGGAAAUGGAACUUUCCUUCAAAUGUACAACUCAAUGCAAAAACAUUAGUCCAUUAGGAUUGCCAUUCAAUUACCAAAACCACACAUGGGGACUACAUGUACUUUCAAUCUCCCCCAUUUUGGUAAUUGAUGACAAUCUCAACAAGAGGGUUUAUAUAGUGCUUUUUAAACAAGGAUGCAAUUUAUCCGAGGAUAAAUUAUAUACUUGGGAUGGUUGUAUUAUCAUCAAGACACUACACAAGCAUUUGAUGAUAGUACACCCAUAGUAUAUAGAGAAAACUCCCCCACAAUAUAUGCAUGUGUGAAUGAACUUUGAAUGUCAUUGCAAUACUCAUCCACGCAAUAAGAAUAUAUAACAAGGGUAGAUAUGCAUGAGUGACAACAAGAACUACAAAAGAUAUUUAUCUUAAACCCUCUAAACUUCUCCCCCAUUGGCAACAAUUGCCAAAACGGAAGACAAAACAUCUAGCCGACCAAUAUAGUAUGAGUUCCUCCUUGAUGUGUGCAUAUCACAAAAUGUCACUGAAAACAAAUGCACAUAUUUAAAUGAUGAACAAUUAAACGAGCUCGGAAUCUAUAGAACGCAAUCCGAUACAAAGAUAUGAACUUUUUCAUGUAAAUUUUUUUAAGUGGCCAAUAAUAAUCAUGAUAUGUAUCCACAAAGAAACUCAUAUACACAAAAAGAAAGGUUGCAAUUGAUAAGAACAUGAUAUCCACAAGUGAAUCCACUAUUAUACAACUUGAGCCUAGUCAUAAUAGCAAGGCACAUGGCACAAAUUGAUCUCAUUUGCAUAACAAAAGUGAAGCAAGUAAUCAAAAGAUCCGAUGAGCCAAAAGGAUAAAAGAAUAUUACGAUUUGGGUAAAGGAGUGGUCUAAGGAAAAUAGAGAAGCUCCCCAUGAUUUGUGUACUAUUUAUAAUUUUUGUAUUUGGAUACAAGUGCACAAAAUAGGAUCAUGACUCUCCCAAAAUCAAUAGGAACACAAAACAAUUGCAAGCAAGCAUAGAUAAGAAAAGAAGCCUAGCAUUUGCAACAAACAUAUGGUUGAGCAACAUGAAAAUGAGGCAACCUAAGAAUAGGCACAACCAAAAUGAUGUGUGUGAGUCAUGUCAAAGAACUUGAGAAGAUUAGUAUAUGGAUGAGAAUUAAGCAUCAACAUAGCCUUGAGUAAAUUAGAUACAAGGUGCAAGACAUGUCCUUCCCACACACACGAAGUUAAGAGCGACACACACACAUCAAGCAAAUGGGUUCACAAGCUCACUAAUAGCAAAUUAAAAAUAAAAGCUUGUGACAACCCAUGAUGAAGAUAGGAAAUAAUAGGCUUGUCAAGACAAGCACGAGGACAACAAUCUUCACCAAACAUGAGUGCACUAAGGUGCAAAGAGGUAAGACACGCACUCAUACAAUAAAUGCUUCCACGGAGCCACCAAAUAUGUAAAAAGAGAAUGAAAUGGUGGACAUGAAAGAAUAGGGAUAUCAACUAGAGAUGUAACUUCUCUCAUGUGUACAAGAUUCUAGGUAGAUGACAAUCAUGAUGAUAUAUAUCCACAAAGAAGGAUGUACACAUGAAAUAAUUACAAAAGGAAAGAAUAAGAUACCCAAAAGGGAGACAUAAAAUAUACCAAUGAGAUCUUUGCUUGAAAGUAUAGCACUUGGCUUAAUAUAAUCUUAUCGUAUAUUGAUGAACUCCAAACACACAACCAUCAAAGACAUCACAACUAGCAACAAGAGAUCAUUGUUGAGAUGCUUUGAGAGAGGAAACAAGUAUGACAAGAACGAGUCAAGAAAUUCAUGCCAUGAUGCAACCUAUACAUAAGGUUGAAUGCAAGAAAUGUAUGCAUGAAGUAAAUACUUGUUACCGAGAUAGCAUUGGAAUGAUGUAGUAGGUAAUGGUUCAAGCUUGGCUCUAAUUUCCUCAUAGUGCCACCAACUUCAUGAAUAAGCCAAGCACCCAAUGCUCCUUAAAUGUACCUAAAACAAUUUAAGUACAAUAUGGUCCCCAAACUUAUUGGGUCCGAAGUAGUUAGCAUAACUAUAAAACAUAGGGUAAAAUCACUUAAAUAUGUGCAUAUCAAUAUGAAUUUGAAUUUCAUGCACAUAUUAGCAAUUAAGAAUUUUGAUGGAUUUACCAUAUAUNNNNNNNNNNNNNNNNNNNNNNNNNNNNNNNNNNNNNNNNNNNNNNNNNNNNNNNNNNNNNNNNNNNNNNNNNNNNNNNNNNNNNNNNNNNNNNNNNNNNNNNNNNNNNNNNNNNNNNNNNNNNNNNNNNNNNNNNNNNNNNNNNNNNNNNNNNNNNNNNNNNNNNNNNNNNNNNNNNNNNNNNNNNNNNNNNNNNNNNNNNNNNNNNNNNNNNNNNNNNNNNNNNNNNNNNNNNNNNNNNNNNNNNNNNNNNNNNNNNNNNNNNNNNNNNNNNNNNNNNNNNNNNNNNNNNNNNNNNNNNNNNNNNNNNNNNNNNNNNNNNNNNNNNNNNNNNNNNNNNNNNNNNNNNNNNNNNNNNNNNNNNNNNNNNNNNNNNNNNNNNNNNNNNNNNNNNNNNNNNNNNNNNNNNNNNNNNNNNNNNNNNNNNNNNNNNNNNNNNNNNNNNNNNNNNNNNNNNNNNNAUGCAAAUUUACACAUAGUAAAUAUCCAUGCACAAGCCUACCAAAAUCUAGGGAGAUACAAAUUUGACAAAUGAACAUAUAACCGUUAAUACUUCCAAUAACAUCAGUAGUCAUUCAUGUUGUCCAAAAUGACUCAAAGUGACAAAUCAACAUAUGAUAGCACAGAAAGUUGAACAUAUGAACUAAGGAAAACCAAUGAGCAUAUAAGAUAUGCAUUGCACACAUGCUCAUGGGAAUAUCUCACUCAAGAAGAUAUAUGACACUAUAAACAAUGAGAUAACAAACUACCAUAACUCCAUACAAACCAAUAAGAUGAACUUGAACAAAAUGGUGUUUCGAGUUGUCAUUCGGUGUAGAAACCAAAUAAGUACAUGAUCAUCUAUGCUAACACAAGCAUAACAUGAGAGUUUAGAAAUAAACACAAUGCUUGGAUAGCAUAUUAUUAACAUUCCAAUAAGAUAGAUCAUCAUGCAAAGCAACAAUUGGAAUGGAUUUAUUCAAAUGAUUUUCCAAAUACAAUUUUUAAGAUAACCAUGGGCAAAAUCGCACAAGAAUUCCAUACUAAAAAAACAUUGCAUGCCACAGAGAUAUAAGAUAAUCUCAAACAUAAAUUCUAAGUGGCAAACUAGCAAACCACUAUUGUUAAUGUUCACACGAGAAGUGAUAUGCACAAAGUAUAUCACUCCCCCAUAAUGUGAUAAUCCAUGUAUUAUCCACACGAGGCAAAUGAAACCCAACUAAGGAUAAUUAAUGGAUGAGGAUUUGAGUUUCAAAUGAACUUUACAUACCCCAUAGUAACUAGAUAAUAUUGCACUAACAAUACUAGGUGGUAUCCUACAUAUAUACACAUUUAAGGUUUGUGAUAUGUGUAAAACAUAGCACUCUCCCAUAAUGUGAUGAUCCAUUAAUAUCUCAAAAGAGCCAAGGAAGAUUCAACUAAUGAAGCAAUAAAGGCUCGAAACCACACAUGCAACUAUAUGAUGUGCAUAGCAACCUACACAAGCUAGAUAACAUGAAUCAAGCAUAUUAGGAGGCACAACAUAUACAAACACAUGCUAGGAACAAAACCUAAACAUGCAUGGGGCUAGUAACUUUCAAUGUAGACAAUAUAAAUACAAGUUACCGCCACGAGGAGCAUUGGAAUGACAAAUAUGAUGAUAAUUCACUUAACUUGGUUUGAACCAUAAUGAAUGGUGAGAAUCAUUUUUCUUCAUGAACUAGCCAAGCGUCCAAUGCCCUCCACACACCUAUUGAUUAAUUUUGAACUCGAUGGUCCCCAACCACGUUGGGUCCUAAGAAGUUAGUAACAAUAGGCUUGGCAACCCAAAUGGUCUUAUCCACUUUCAAACCACUUUGGGCACCAAUAUACUUGGAAAACAUAUUAUCAUCAAUAUCCUUCCUAAGUGAAUAAUGAUCAUUGAUAAUUGGAGGCUUAGAUAUGUUACCAUUUGGACAUGAUGAAGCUAUGUGUCCCUUCUUACGGCAAAUAUAGCAACGUGUACUCCCCCUUCUCUUCUUCUUUACUUUCUCAACUUGGGAAGUAAUAACAUGGUUCAUCAUGGAUAGUGCCCGUUCUUCAACUUGAGGUUGAACUUGAGAUUGAGCUUGAGGCUGCUUUCCAUGUAGCUUCCCUUUAUAAGCCCUUUUCUUUAGUGGACAAUAUCUCACGUGAUGUCCAACCUUUUUGCAUUUAAAGCAAGAAAUGGUGGGCUCAUUCUUGGCUCGGCCUUGCCCCCUUUUCUUGUUCAUGGAUUUCUUCUUGUUGGAGUGAAAACUAUGUCCAUCAUCGCACUUUUCCAAGUCUUUCUUCAAACUAGUGACUUGGGCCUUGAGCUUAUUAAUUUCCUCUACAUGGUUAGUUUCAAGACUAGAAACAAGAGGAGUAGUGGAAGUAGAAACUUCAUGGUUAGAGCAACAAGACAAGGUGAGCAAUUCAUCAUGAGGUGUACCAAUAUCAUGUAGAGAGGAAUUGCAAGGACUAGCACAUUGCAAUAAGGCAUUCCGAGUAGAAGAUGUGCUAAUAUCCACAUGAGACUCACAUGAUUUUACCUUGGUGACCAUAGCCUCAUGAGAUAACUUUAACCCAUCAUGAGAGAUUAGAAGAUCAUCAUGAGUGCCUGAGAGCUUUUUAUGAGUUUCUUCCAAUUUCCCAUAAUUGCUAGUUAGCAAAUCAAGUUGAGUCCUUAGCUCAACAUUUUCUUUCAAUAUCGAUGCUUCACACAAGAUAGAGUUAGUAGCACAAGCAUCAUUAUCAAUAUGAGAGGAGCAUGUAGAAACUAGAGACUCCGCAUGAGUAGCUUGAAGUUCCUCGUGAGACUUAGAGAGUUUGGUGAGCUCUCCUUUGACAUUAUUGUAGCUAAGGUCAAGGUGCUCAAAAUCCUCUUUAAGUUUACAAUGAGUAACUUCAAUCUCUUCUUUUAAAGACCUCAAGUCACUACGACAUUGAUGAGCCUUAGCAAGUUCAUGUUCAAGUUGUUCACUUUUCGCUUGCUCGUGUUGGUGAAGUGCAAGAUAUUGAAGUGUGCAAGUAAUCGGAGGUGGAAGUAAUAGAGAGCUCUUCAUGAUUUAAAAAUGUGGAGAACUCCUCCAUCAACUCCCCAAAUAGAAUAUUAUCUUCAUCAAGAUUGUACCCACCAUAUAUAUCUUCAAGUUUGGUCCAAGUCUCAUGAGCCGACUUGCAAGUCGUGACUGCCUUAAACACUUCAAAUGUUAAAGCUUGAUUAAUGACAAGAGAAGUAUCACAAUCAAGAUACAUAUCUUCGAUAGAUGGAGAAUGUCCAUCCUUAGCAAUAGAAAUUCCUAUAAGAACAAUUCGCAAAGCAUUUCGACCCAUGGCCCGAAAGUGACAAAGCAUGCAGAUUCUCCAUAGGUGAUAAUUUGUGCCAUCCAAAUCAAAAGUGUUGUUGUGCACUAGUUCACUAGUCGACAUCAUUACUCUCUAGGCGGUGAAGCCUAAUAAGGAGAGACCGGACUCUGAUACCAAUUGAAAGGACCACGAUGUCGCCUAGAAGGGGGGUGAAUAGGCGUUUUAAAAUAUUUUGCGGAUUUGGCUAUAUCCUAAUGCGGAAAUAAACUAAGCGGAUAUUUUUCAAGCACAAAUCCUAAAUAUACUAGGCUCACUAAGUGCAACAACAGCUUAGGAUAAACAAGAUGAGAACAACGAGGAUAUGAGUAAGCACAAGUAAGUACACAAACUUACUCAAUGUAUAUCACAAGAUAUGUAAAUGAAUAAUACACACAACCACAAGUAAGAAAUACAAGCUUACACAAAUUAUGUCACAAGAUAUGGAAAUGAAUGUUACAAGCUAGCAAUUCACACUCAGCACAAGAUAGAACAAUGGUAGCAAGUAUGAAUUGCGACUAUAAAGUGUUGGCCUAAAUUAUCUCUACGAAAUGGUAACCAACACAAUAUAAUGAGGACAACAAGAUAUAGUGAAUGCACGGUCAAGUGACCAAAGUAAACCACAAGUAAGGAGUUAGGGUUAAGGAUAACCAAAGUCACGAAGACAAGGAUGUAUCCCGAUGUUCACUUCCUUGGAGAGAAGCUAGUCACCGUUAGAGAGGUGGAUGUUACCAUGAAGGCACACCAACGCCAUGAAAGCUCACCCUAUUCUCCUUGAGAUAUCACCACGAAGGCGAUUCUCAACCACUAGUGGUAGACCUUGAGGCGGCCUCCAAACCUUCACAAACUUUCCGGGGGACAAAUCACAAGUUGAUUCCUCACCGGAGCACUCCUACCGCCUAGGAGUCUCCAACCUCCAAGAGUAUCAAGAACAAAGGGGAAAUGCUCAAGACUUGCUCAAAUCAUGAAUUCCUUUGGUCAAGAGAGGGAGAGGGAGUGGAUCUAUCACUUGAUUGGAAAAACUCUCAAGAACUCUCACAAAUCUCUCCGGGAUCUAAGAUUUGGUGUAGGAGAAGUGAGAGGGAGCCACUUGUGUUCUUGGGGCGAUUUGGGAUAAAGUGGUCAACCCUCUACCAGAUUAGUAGAGGGGUAUAUAUAGAAGGACUAGAAAACUAGCCGUUUGUGGGUAAGUGACAGCGUCGGGCCGGACAUCCGGGCAAGGGACGGACAUCCGGGCAAGUGCCGGACAUCCGGCAGGCACAACCAACAUUUGAAAACAGGUUCUGGAAUUUGCGGGCCGGAUUUCCGGGAGGAUCCCGGACAACCGGGGCGACCCGGAAGCCCGGACAUCCGGCCAAGUCGCGGAUGUCCGGCCAUCAAAAAAACAGCAGGAACCCCAAAACUUUUACAUCCGGACUCCGAUUUUGAUGAUCUUGGGCUCGUUUUGAAGCUAUGUAAAAAUUGCAGGUCCUCACAUAUAGAACCACCCAAUAUAAGCCAUAAUGGAGGGUGCAAAGCAUGCAAUGGUUAUACAUAUACUUUGGGGAACCUAGUUGGCUUUGGAUUUUCUUUUGAGAUAUGUAGGCAUAUUGUAUUUGUAUUGGAUAGGAGCGAAAUAUGCCUAUGUUGGAAUAUGAUGUGAGAAGAAUAGAAAUAGAUGAUGUUGACUUGAGCAAAUCCAUCACUAACCCCUUUGAUCCCCUCUCAAUAGUGCGGGAUCCCUAUAACUCAAGAAUCAUAAAAGAACUAUACUAGAUAGCUUCCGAAAACUCAUUCCUGAGCAUAUAUCCUUUUCGAUGGUCAUAGAUCCUCACAUCUAAAGCCAAAGGAACUAAUACCUUUGACUAGAGCCUUUCACUUGAGCUUUAUAUUGAUGUUUCUUCAUGGCUCAAGUUGAAGGCAAGACAUUGGAGAAGUCUUCAAGUAGCUCCCCCAUACACAAUGUGGGAAGAUUUGUUUUGCAUUCAUCUUUACUUGUCCAUCAACAUUAAUUACUUGAUGACAUACUUUGAUGAGCACCAAGCUUUCUUAGAAGCACCAAGCUCAUGAGAAUUACCUAACCAACAUAACAUAGACAACACAUAGUAUGGGUUAGUACACAAAGCGCAAUUGAUAAAUUCUUAUCAUGCCACAAGAUCUCAUGUGGCACAUGAUAUGCGCUUGUGUGUUGUCCAUCUUAGAGGUCAAUCUUUGAUCUUCAUCUUGGUCAACAUUUAUCUUUGCUCCAUGAUUAAUAUUGAUUUCUUGAAGGCCCUAUUGAUAUCUUCACUAUGCUUCAUUUCUUCAAGACAUAAUAACCAAUAUCUCAAUUCACCAUGACCAUAUCAAGUUUCUCCUUGAAUAUCAUAUUGGACAUCAUUUGCCCAUUCUCAUGCUCCAACAUGGUAUCUUGAGAGGCACAAUGAUUUCUUCACUUGAAUUACUUGCUUCAUGACAUAAUAAUCCCCGACUCAACAAAUGAGCUCAUAAUGAUCCUAUCAUCAAGCAUAUGUAGAAUUCUUCUCUUUAAUCAUUCUCUCAAGAUCUUGAUCCAUCAUGGUUCAACCCAUAAGCCUUGAUGCAUGCACAACAAUAUGUAUAUGGCAUUCAUUUCGAAUCCAUUCUAUCUCCUUCUUGCAUCACCAUGGAACAAACAUCCUUCAGUUCAUCCAAUAUUCUUCAUGCAUUGGAAAUGGAACUUUCCUUCAAAUGUACAACUCAAUGCAAACAUUAGUCCAUUAGGAUUGCCAUUUAAUUACCAAAACCACACAUGGGGACUACAUGUACUUUCGAUAUCUUAUAAACUUAGGCAAGUGUUCUCAGGUUAUCCUUAACAUCAUGCACUAACUUGGGUAAUUAGCAUCAAACAAUACAUAUCAGUACAAGGCUAGGCAAGAUAAUAAAGACUUGGGAAAACAUAGCAGAGUUAUAAAAAAUGAUAUGUGCCCUUAAAGAAAGGGCAGUGUCAAGUGCGGCCACAUACAUAGGCAUUAACAGCACCCACGACCCCUGGACACUCUCACAACCGAAGAGGAGGUGCCUUGCAUAUGGUCUCCUUCGAGUCUGCGAGAGAAAGAGCGAGGUGAAGGUCAGUACGCGUAUCAAGGAUGCUGCUGUUCUGGGUCAAGCUAAGUCAAGGGCAUAUGAGAAUUUAGUCAAAAAAUAAAAUAACAUGUGAACAUCUUGCACAAACUAUCAUCAUUUAUAAAAAAUACAAAACAAAUAUGCAUAAAGCUAUACAAUGGUUGAGUGCUCAUGCUUCUAUUAUAUCAGACAAUAGCAUUUAGCAAUAGUGAUGAUCAACUACACUAUUCGCUUAUCAUGAACAAUUAAUUCUCAAGAUGCAGAAAGCUUGUUUACAAUAGUUUGGGUUUUAAAAUUUGUCAUCUUGAAACAUCACACUACCACAUGAUAGGACAGAUACAGGAAAUAGGAUUGCCCUGAUCAAGUAUACAUAAGCAUAAAAAAGAUCAAACAAGCUCAUUGUGCAUUUUCUUUUUCAGUGUGAUACACAAUAAGCAUAAGUAACCACUAGGAAAUAACUUGCUGUCUAUAGGCCCUAUUAUCGGCAACAAUAACAUUAGGCAAGGAAGAACAGUAUAUUUCCAAUGCAAUUUGUUAGACAACAUUAUGUGGGGGCUGCAUGAGUGUUAUGUGGGGGCUGCAUGAUCUGUCGUUUUAAAAUGCUUCCUAAAAAUACAAGACUGGAAGAAUGCAAAAGGUGCAUCAUCUAUGAUAUGUUUAGCGUUUCUAUUUGAACUAGAAUAGGAUUGCACAAGUGUAUUCAAUUCAACAAGUAGUCUGAACCGUUGCAUAAAAGGAACUGCUGGUGCUGGCAAACCACACCUCAUUCUAAUAAUAUUCACAAGUGUAUAAUAAGGUUGAUGCCGAGCAGACUGCGCACCUCCUGGAUGAAUGCCUUGGCCUCUAUCUUUGCUGCUGCUUCUGCUGCACAAGAAGAAGAAGAUGAGACAUGUGCUAGAAAGGAAGGAAUGCAUCCCGAAACAACAAGGGAGCAUCAGGUAGCUGACCUUUGUGCCCUUGACGUUGGAGCUCCAUGGACCUGAGCUUGGUGGUGACCAAUCAAUAGCCGCUUCACAAGGAGAGAGAGAGGAAAACAAAGGUUAAUCACGGGUACCUUGGCAAAUGGGCA